Molecule: long non-coding RNA, 460 nt
Organism: Prionailurus viverrinus (fishing cat)
Lineage: Eukaryota; Metazoa; Chordata; Mammalia; Carnivora; Felidae
Exons: 3
Source: RefSeq, a predicted model, not a curated record
AUCCUCUCAGUCACGAGGCCAGACAAGUACAAAACUGGCUCCUGCCACAUGGAAGGAAACUUGCUCUCCCCAGGAAGGGUCUGGAAGGGUCAUUUAGAGCCUUAGCUCCAACAACAAGCUGACUUAGCAAAAGGAAGCAAUGCCAACAUUGAAACUAACCACCCAGAAAGAUGAAUGAGUAUCAACCAAAAACACGUUAGCAAAAAUUUCAGGAACAGCAUUAAAAAGGAGAAGAGCCAAAGAGGAAGAGAUCCUGGAGCUCCCAUGAAGACGCAGUGAGAAAACCGCAGUCUGCAAGCCAGGGAGAGGGCCCUGCCCAGCGAUCAAAUUGGCCGGCACCCAGAUAGAUGCUGGACUACCCAGCCUCCAGGACCGUGAGAAAAUAAACUUCGGUUGUUUAAGCCACCCAUCAGCCUAUGGUAUUUUGUUACGGGCUCUGGAGCUGACUAAUGCCGUGGAA